AACGAACGCUGGCGGCAGGCCUAACACAUGCAAGUCGAGCGCUCACUUCGGUGGGAACGGCGGACGGGUUAGUAACGCGUGGGAAUAUGCCCGGUACUAAGGAAUAGCCUUUGGAAACGAAGAGUAAUACCUUAUACGCCCUUCGGGGGAAAGAUUUAUCGGUAUCGGAUUAGCCCGCGUAAGAUUAGAUAGUUGGUGAGGUAAUGGCUCACCAAGGCUACGAUCUUUAGCUGGUCUGAGAGGACGAUCAGCCACAUUGGGACUGAGACACGGCCCAGACUCCUACGGGAGGCAGCAGUGGGGAAUCUUAGACAAUGGGCGCAAGCCUGAUCUAGCCAUGCCGCGUGAGUGAAGAAGGCCUUAGGGUCGUAAAACUCUUUCGCCAGAGAUGAUAAUGACAGUAUCUGGUAAAGAAACCCCGGCUAACUCCGUGCCAGCAGCCGCGGUAAUACGGAGGGGGUUAGCGUUGUUCGGAAUUACUGGGCGUAAAGCGCACGUAGGCGGACUGGAAAGUUGGGGGUGAAAUCCCGGGGCUCAACCUCGGAACUGCCUCCAAAACUAUCAGUCUAGAGUUCGAGAGAGGUGAGUGGAAUUCCAAGUGUAGAGGUGAAAUUCGUAGAUAUUUGGAGGAACACCAGUGGCGAAGGCGGCUCACUGGCUCGAUACUGACGCUGAGGUGCGAAAGUGUGGGGAGCAAACAGGAUUAGAUACCCUGGUAGUCCACACCGUAAACGAUGAAUGCCAGUCGUCGGCAAGUAUACUUGUCGGUGACACACCUAACGGAUUAAGCAUUCCGCCUGGGGAGUACGGUCGCAAGAUUA
RNAcentral lists this ribosomal RNA (821 nucleotides) under uncultured marine bacterium. RNAcentral's name for it is "bacterial SSU rRNA". It matches the Rfam family "Bacterial small subunit ribosomal RNA", at positions 28 to 896 of the family's 1533-position model. The record is from RNAcentral.